UACGUAGGGUGCGAGCGUUAAUCGGGUUUACUGGGCGUAAAGCGUGCGCAGGCGGCCCGUUAAGACAGGUGUGAAAUCCCUGGGCUCAACCUAGGAAUUGCGCUUGUGACUGGCGGGCUCGAGUACGGUAGAGGGGGGUGGAAUUCCUGGUGUAGCAGUGAAAUGCGUAGAGAUCAGGAGGAACACCGAUGGCGAAGGCAGCCCCCUGGGCCUGUACUGACGCUCAUGCACGAAAGCGUGGGGAGCAAACAGG
Molecule: ribosomal RNA, 253 nt
Filed under: uncultured microorganism
Description: partial 16S ribosomal RNA
Rfam family: Bacterial small subunit ribosomal RNA
Source: RNAcentral